RNAcentral lists this long non-coding RNA (643 nucleotides) under Lepidothrix coronata (blue-crowned manakin). RNAcentral's name for it is "lncRNA (ENSLCOG00000013357.1)". The record is from RNAcentral. Lineage: Eukaryota; Metazoa; Chordata; Aves; Passeriformes; Pipridae.
AACCCCACCCCCCCCAGUGCUAAAAGGCAGCGUGGAGCCCCAGCACUGUUAACUGCCUUAACUCCCUUCCAGGCCCGAGGACAGGCGCUUUCCUCGGUCUGAGGUGUGACAAUAACAAUGACAUGGGCAUCGCACACGUGAAAGCGCUGGACAAUAAACUGUGCUCUGAGGCCUGCUUACCUGGCUCCUCCGUCUGUGUGAAAGUUCAUGUUCGCUCUGUGCCAACACGGUUUUCUCCACCCACGCUUGUGUCCCCUCCCUGCCCAGAGUUGCACAAAGGUGACAAAUGUAUUGGUGACCCCUGGCCCCUGCACGGGCCAAAGGGAGCAGUGGGCUGGGGACCCUUCCUCAGCCUGUGUGUGGAGAAAUGGGGCAAAAAACCAAGACAAAGCCCUCCGAGGGGUCUCCAUCAAUACAUUUGUGGACAAGCUGAAAGCAACUCUGCCCUUGCCUUGCCCCUUUGCCUAACUUUGUGGCAGGUCCGAGACCUGCAGCAGGUGCUGGAGAGCCGAGAGGGUGGGUGAAACCCACUGGAGGGAAGGGAAAUCCUCUUUUCCCCACUACUCCUUUGGGAAAGCCUCCUCUCCUGCUGCUUUGCCUGUUCCUGGUGGUUUCUGUGCCAGAGAAACACAGCUGAGGCUCU